UACGAAGGGGGCUAGCGUUGCUCGGAAUUAUUGGGCGUAAAGGGCGCGUAGGCGGAUAGUUUAGUCAGAGGUGAAAGCCCAGGGCUCAACCUUGGAACUGCCUUUGAUACUGGCUAUCUUGAGUUCGGGAGAGGUGAGUGGAAUGCCGAGUGUAGAGGUGAAAUUCGUAGAUAUUCGGCGGAACACCAGUGGCGAAGGCGACUCACUGGCCCGAUACUGACGCUGAGGCGCGAAAGCGUGGGGAGCAAACAGG
RNAcentral lists this ribosomal RNA (253 nucleotides) under uncultured bacterium. RNAcentral describes it as "partial 16S ribosomal RNA". It matches the Rfam family "Bacterial small subunit ribosomal RNA", at positions 524 to 776 of the family's 1533-position model. The record is from RNAcentral.